GCGGGCGUGGCGGAAUUGGCAGACGCGUUGGAUUUAGGUUCCAAUACCUCAGGGUGUGUGAGUUCGAGUCUCUUCGCCCGCACCA
This 85-nucleotide transfer RNA is filed under the name Clostridia bacterium. Its description in RNAcentral is "tRNA-Leu". It matches the Rfam family "tRNA". Rfam says of the family: Transfer RNA (tRNA) molecules are approximately 80 nucleotides in length. Their secondary structure includes four short double-helical elements and three loops (D, anti-codon, and T loops). Further hydrogen bonds mediate the characteristic L-shaped molecular structure. tRNAs have two regions of fundamental functional importance: the anti-codon, which is responsible for specific mRNA codon recognition, and the 3' end, to which the tRNAs corresponding amino acid is attached (by aminoacyl-tRNA synthetases). tRNAs cope with the degeneracy of the genetic code in two manners: having more than one tRNA (with a specific anti-codon) for a particular amino acid; and 'wobble' base-pairing, i.e. permitting non-standard base-pairing at the 3rd anti-codon position. Lineage: Bacteria; Bacillati; Bacillota; Clostridia. The record is from RNAcentral.